This is a long non-coding RNA of Physella acuta, 462 nucleotides long. RefSeq lists it as uncharacterized. The record is from RefSeq and is a predicted model, not a curated record. Lineage: Eukaryota; Metazoa; Mollusca; Gastropoda; Physidae.
GUACACGAGUGCUUGGCGGAUAGGUUGCUGUAUACUUUACGUUGCCUGGUGGGCAAUAAAACACGUAACACACGGUCGAAAAUAGCCGCAAUCCGCGUAAUAGUGUGAAAAUUUGUUGGGGUUACCAUUUUCACAUCGCAAUAAACGGAUAACCGUUGACUGCAGAGGUUGGAAACGUUCAGGAAAUCAAUGCCUUUGAAGAGAGUACAGUUACUUAUUUUCCUACUUCUUCUGUGCGGACUGCAUAUCCAAGCACAGAGUUCUAGAUGUACCAAGGGGUCGUGUUCUGUCCUAGCAUGUUGCACUGGAUAUUAUUGCAGACACGUUGGCAUUCCUCGUCCCAGAUGUUAUGUACGCACCUGAGUGCUGUUUAUGUCUAAAGUUAAAGACGCACAUUUUCAAAAUGUUAUUUACUGGAUAAUCUAAUAAUGCAUUUAUAACAUUUGAAAAACAAACAAAAAU